GGGAGCUGCUGCGUGUUACACGCGGUUGUGUGUCAUUCUAGGUGACAGACGGAGCGGCUACCGGAGGGGACGGGGGAUCUCUGAGGAGAGCCCAUCCCGCCAGAAGGGAGAGUAAUGGCAUUCCCCCGGCCACGGAAGAAGGAUGUGUGUGACCAAGGAAUCCAUGGCAAGAAGAGCCCAACAGACAUGAAGCAUCCCAGUAAUGCAGAGAGUAUAGUUACAUACCAAGGUUAUCCAAAACCAUUUGAGAAUACUGCUAUGUCACAACUGGCAACAUAGUGACAUUUAUCAGCUUAAACAGUGUGCUGAGACCAUGGGUCGUCAGAAGGACCAGAUACCUGUGCCUUAAACAAAGCUCCCCAACGUACUGUACAGUCUUUAUUUGUGUUUGAGAUUAAUUGACCACUGCAGAAUGCAUCCUUGGGCUUUCUGAAAUAUAUGAAAUGACACAGGGUGAAGUGAUGAGAAGUUAUCCUGAGAGAGGGGAGUGAUAUUGUAAAACCCGUCUGGAAGAUAGCUGCAAUACUGCUGGCUCCUGGCUUUGGCUGUGUAUGCUACACAAAUACAAACUGCAUUUACACUUGAUUAAAGGUAAUGUAAUAAAAAAAAUCCCCAACUUUUUCUGGGUGUAUGUUUGCAUGUGGACCAGCGCUGUAAACAAAACGUACUAAACACUUGAAACAGCAGCAGUAGCUACAUUUUU
RNAcentral lists this long non-coding RNA (703 nucleotides) under Aquila chrysaetos chrysaetos. RNAcentral describes it as "lncRNA (ENSACCG00020010863.1)". Lineage: Eukaryota; Metazoa; Chordata; Aves; Accipitriformes; Accipitridae. The record is from RNAcentral.